This 466-nucleotide ribosomal RNA is filed under the name uncultured bacterium. RNAcentral describes it as "partial 16S ribosomal RNA". It matches the Rfam family "Bacterial small subunit ribosomal RNA", at positions 28 to 507 of the family's 1533-position model. The record is from RNAcentral.
GAUGAACGCUGGCGGCGUGCUUAACACAUGCAAGUCGAACGAUGAAGCCCCGCUUGCUGGGUGGAUUAGUGGCGAACGGGUGAGUAACACGUGAGUAACCUGCCCUUAACUCUGGGAUAAGCCUGGGAAACUGGGUCUAAUACCGGAUAGGAGCGCCUACCGCAUGGUGGGUGUUGGAAAGAUUUAUCGGUUUUGGAUGGACUCGCGGCCUAUCAGCUUGUUGGUGAGGUAAUUGCUCACCAAGGCGACGACGGGUAGCCGGCCUGAGAGGGUGACCGGCCACACUGGGACUGAGACACGGCCCAGACUCCUACGGGAGGCAGCAGUGGGGAAUAUUGCACAAUGGGCGAAAGCCUGAUGCAGCGACGCCGCGUGAGGGAUGACGGCCUUCGGGUUGUAAACCUCUUUCAGUAGGGAAGAAGCGAAAGUGAAGGUACCUGCAGAAGAAGCACCGGCUAACUAAGUG